UACGUAGGUGGCGAGCGUUGUCCGGAUUUACUGGGCGUAAAGAGCGCGCAGGCGGCUGGGCAAGUCCGAUGUGAAAGCUUCCGGCUUAACCCGGAAAGGUCAGCCGAUACUGCGGGGCUAGAGUGCAGAAGGGGCAACUGGAAUUCUCGGUGUAGCGGUGAAAUGCGUAGAUAUCGAGAGGAACACCUGCGGCGAAGGCGGGUUGCUAGGCUGACACUGACGCUGAGUGCGCGAAAGCCAGGGGAGCAAACGGG
RNAcentral lists this ribosomal RNA (254 nucleotides) under uncultured bacterium. Its description in RNAcentral is "partial 16S ribosomal RNA". It matches the Rfam family "Bacterial small subunit ribosomal RNA", at positions 524 to 776 of the family's 1533-position model. The record is from RNAcentral.